RNAcentral lists this ribosomal RNA (2366 nucleotides) under human metagenome. RNAcentral's name for it is "bacterial LSU rRNA". It matches the Rfam family "Bacterial large subunit ribosomal RNA", at positions 209 to 2312 of the family's 2925-position model. The record is from RNAcentral.
GGUUGAGGAAAAGAGAAUAAACAAUGAUUCCGAAAGUAGUGGCGAGCGAAAUUGGAACAGCCCAAACCUUAACAUAACCAUACGGUUUAACGGCCAGAGUUAUGAAAGGGGUUGAGAAAUUAGAUAAUUUUUAUGUAUAGCGGUCGACUAACUGUUGUCUAUUCACUGUUAAGGAGUAUAUGCCUGGCCAAGCGGCAUUGAGCGCCUCCGAAAUAGUGAGUAGACAACAAUCCGACGGUUAUACAUAAAAACCAACAUCGUUAAAUGAGUGGAUAAUGAUAAAAUCCUUUAGAUCAUAGCAGAAGUGUUUGAAUGGCACACCAAAGAAGGUGAGAGUCCUGUACGCGAAAUGGUCUUAGGCAUUAUAUAUCUUUUUUCAAGUAGGACGGGGCACGAGAAACCCUGUUUGAAUCCGGCAGGACCACCUGCCAAGGCUAAAUAUAUUGAUUGAUCGAUAGCGAACUAGUACAGUGAUGGAAAGGUGAAAAGAACCCCGGGAGGGGAGUGAAAUAGAUCCUGAAAUUUAGUGCCUACAAGGAGUCGGAGCCGGCUUGUCCGGUGACGGCGUGCUUUUUGUAGAACGAUCCAGCGAGUUAAUUUUUACAGCGAGGUUAAGUCAAUUGACGGAGCCACAGUGAAAGCGAGCCUGAAUAGGGCGAAUAAGUUGUAAGGAUUAGACCCGAAACCGGGUGACCUAACCAUGAGCAGGUUGAAGCCACUGUAACAGGUGGUGGAGGACCGAACCAGGAUACGCAGCAAAGUGUUUGGAUGACUUGUGGUUAGCGGUGAAAUGCCAAUCGAACUCGGAGAUAGCUGGUUCUCCUCGAAAUAGCUUUAGGGCUAGCGUCGUGUUAGUAGCACAUGGGGGUAGAGCUCUGUAAAGGACUGGGGCGGGCAACUGUACCCACCCUUAACAAACUACGAAUACCAUGUGUGUAAUCACGGCAGUUAGAACAUCGGUGCUAAGAUCGGUGCUCAAAAGGGAAACAGCCCAGACCAUCAUCUAAGGUCCCUAAAUUAACGUUCAGUGGGAAACAAGGUGAGAUUUCUUAAACAGCUAGGAUGUUGGCUUAGAAGCAGCCAUUCAUUUAAAGAGUGCGUAACAGCUCACUAGUCAAGAGAUUUUGCGUGGAAAAUGUAACGGGGCUAAAGUGUUAAACCGAAGACAUGGACUUCAUAUUUUAUGGAGUGGUAGAGGAGCGUUGAUAUCGCAGUGAAGUCAGAUUGUAAAGUCUGGUGGAGCGUUAUCAAGUGAGAAUGCUGGAAUCAGUAACCUUAAGACAGGUGAGAAUCCUGUCGGUCGUAAGAGCAAGGUUUCCAGGGCUACAGUAAUUGCCCCUGGGUUAGUCGGUCCUAAGCCGAGGCGUAUCUGCGUAGGCGAUGGACAACAGGUUAAUAUUCCUGUACAGGUAGUAGUUGUUAACAGUUCACGGUGAGUGACCAGAGCGGAUCAAUGGUUUAUCCGUCCAAGGUUUCAAGGAAUUGAAACUGAGUGAAAGAUAUUCUUCGGAAUAUUGAUUCUGGGUACAACGCUGGCUAGAAAAGCUGGUUAACUUAUGCUGCUGCCUACCGUACCGCAAACCAACACCGGUGCUCGGGUCGAGUAGACCAAGACCUACGUGAGAACCUUCGCUAAGGAACUCGGCAAAAAAGCGUCCGUAACUUCGGAAUAAGGACUGCCCUCUCAUUAAGAUGAGGAUUUGCUAGAAACUUGGUGGAAACAUAAGGUUAAUAGUAUUUACCUAAUAAUUUAACCAAAUUUUUCGUCAAGACAGAACACAUCAGGAAAUAUCCUGUGAUAUCUUUUCUAGUAACUCAAUCGUCAUUUUGAUGAGAGGGUCGCAGCUAAAGAGCCCACGGAACUGUUUAACAAAAACAUAGGUCUCUGCUAACGCGAAAGCGGAUGUAUAGGGGCUGACUCCUGCCCGGUGUCGGAAGGUUAAGGGGAGAGCUUUACGGUUCGAACUGAAGCCCCGAUGAACGGCGGCGAUAACUAUGAUCGUCCUAAGGUAGCGAAAUUCCUUGUCUGGUAAGUUCAGACCCGCACGAAUGGAGUAAUCAUGUGGGCACUGUCUCGGCGAAGGCCACGGUGAACGUGCAUUGGCGGUAAAGAUGCCGUCUGAUCAUGCCAGGACGAGAAGACCCCAUGGAGCUUUACUACAACUUUGCAUUGAUUAUUGGGACAUUUUGUGUAGAAUAGGUGGAAGACUUUGAAGCAGAUACGCUAGUAUUUGUGGAGUCGAAAUGUGAAAUACCACCCUGAAUGUUUUAGUAAUCUCACUUUUGACCUGAUCGGCCAAAAGGACCGUGCAUGGCGGGUAGUUUAACUGGGGCGGUUGCCUCCUAAAGAGUAGCGGAGGCGUUCA